GGGGGUAUAGCUCAAUGGAAGAGUGCUUGUCUAGCACACAUGAGACCCUGGGUCUAAUUGCCAGCACUGCCC
RNAcentral lists this transfer RNA (72 nucleotides) under Marmota marmota marmota (Alpine marmot). It matches the Rfam family "tRNA". From Rfam's summary of the family: Transfer RNA (tRNA) molecules are approximately 80 nucleotides in length. Their secondary structure includes four short double-helical elements and three loops (D, anti-codon, and T loops). RNAcentral also lists the same sequence under 1 other name. Lineage: Eukaryota; Metazoa; Chordata; Mammalia; Rodentia; Sciuridae. The record is from Rfam by way of RNAcentral.